GAUGAACGCUGGCGGCGUGCCUAAUACAUGCAAGUCGAGCGAACGGACGAGAAGCUUGCUUCUCUGAUGUUAGCGGCGGACGGGUGAGUAACACGUGGAUAACCUACCUAUAAGACUGGGAUAACUUCGGGAAACCGGAGCUAAUACCGGAUGAUAUUUUGAACCGCAUGGUUCAAAAGUGAAAGACGGUCUUGCUGUCACUUAUAGAUGGAUCCGCGCUGCAUUAGCUAGUUGGUAAGGUAACGGCUUACCAAGGCAACGAUGCAUAGCCGACCUGAGAGGGUGAUCGGCCACACUGGAACUGAGACACGGUCCAGACUCCUACGGGAGGCAGCAGUAGGGAAUCUUCCACAAAGGGCGAAAGCCUGACGGAGCAACGCCGCGUGAGUGAUGAAGGUCUUCGGAUCGUAAAACUCUGUUAUUAGGGAAGAACAUAUGUGUAAGUAACUGUGCACAUCUUGACGGUACCUAAUCAGAAAGCCACGGCUAACUACGUG
Molecule: ribosomal RNA, 497 nt
Filed under: uncultured bacterium
Lineage: Bacteria
Description: partial 16S ribosomal RNA
Rfam family: Bacterial small subunit ribosomal RNA
Source: RNAcentral